UACGGGGGGAGCAAGCGUUGUUCGGAUUUACUGGGCGUAAAGGGCGCGUAGGCGGCCACCGCAAGUCGACUGUGAAAUCUCCGGGCUUAACCCGGAAAGGUCAGCCGAUACUGCGGGGCUAGAGUGCAGAAGGGGCAACUGGAAUUCUCGGUGUAGCGGUGAAAUGCGUAGAUAUCGAGAGGAACACCUGCGGCGAAGGCGGGUUGCUGGGCUGACACGUGACGCUGGAUGCGCGAAAGCUAGGGGAGCGAACGGG
RNAcentral lists this ribosomal RNA (256 nucleotides) under uncultured bacterium. RNAcentral's name for it is "partial 16S ribosomal RNA". It matches the Rfam family "Bacterial small subunit ribosomal RNA", at positions 524 to 776 of the family's 1533-position model. The record is from RNAcentral.